UAAAACUCUUGUAAGGAAAAGGAAAACACAUACAAUUCCUUCACUUGAACCAUUUUUCUUCGAUUAUCAACCUCCUGGGCUAGUUGCAGAUAGAUUCAAAGAACAAAAAGAAAAUGUAUGGGUUUUCUUUUUGUCUUUCUUUUGUUUUUUGCCUGGGAAAACAA
This is a long non-coding RNA of Hibiscus syriacus, 164 nucleotides long. RefSeq lists it as uncharacterized. The record is from RefSeq and is a predicted model, not a curated record. Lineage: Eukaryota; Viridiplantae; Streptophyta; Magnoliopsida; Malvales; Malvaceae. The transcript is spliced from 3 exons.